RNAcentral lists this long non-coding RNA (3004 nucleotides) under Olea europaea subsp. europaea. The record is from RNAcentral. Lineage: Eukaryota; Viridiplantae; Streptophyta; Magnoliopsida; Lamiales; Oleaceae.
CCGUUGUCUUAUGUUUUUCUAUCAGCCUUUUGGGCGAUGAUUCCUGGGGUUUCUGUCAUGAAGAACCAGAGAGAGUAUUUUUGAAGAUGGAUUCAAGUACUAUAAUAAUUAGAAUAUUAACAAAAAAAUAGGUAACUUUUUUACUAUAAUUUCUCUGAUUUCUUUAACUAUAUGAUCGUGUUCUUUAUUCAUCAUAGAAUGAAUCUUGAAGAAUCGGUUCAGGUUUUAAUUGAUUCUGAUUUUGUGAAUUCGCUGAGGGUUUUCACUGAAAUUCAAAGUUGCGGGGUUCAGCAAUUGUGCAACUUUUUCUAUCCUGUUUCCAUAUUUCUUCACCUUUACAUUAAUGUUUUUUGUUGGUUCAUUAGGAUGAGUCUUGUAAGAUUUUUUCUGGGUCGAGUUGGUGAUCAAUUUGUUGGGUUUUUGACCCAAAUUAGAGUGGAUUUUAUUUUUUCCUGGAAAUAAAUUAUUUCCUUAUUUUUAUAUGGAAAAAUUUGUUUCCUUAUAUUUCACGUGAGUUUUAUGAAAAUAUAUUACUUAUUCCACAUUAUUUUCAUCUUUAUGCUAUGUCAUUUACCUAUAAAUAGUGUUAUCCUCUUUCAGUUUAGUAGAAGAUUUUAUUGUUUUGUCGUUGUAUUCUCUCUACAUUGUUAAUUAAUAAUAUAUCUUGCUUCUACGUUUAACUCUCUUUUCUUCUUUACUUUAAACCUUGAUAUAUAUUAUUGUAUUGUUGCAAUCCAUAUUAACUUCAUAUCGCCUCAUUAACUUCAUUCUUUACAACCCCUUGGUCCCAACAAGUGGUAUCGGAGCUUGCGUCUUCUGUGGAUUGGUUAAAGUUUUUCAGAGAUAGCUACCAUGAAAUUUGAUAUUUCACUGCUCAAUCGCAAUACAAGGUCUUCGUUGUGGCAAGUAAAGAUGGGGGCUAUUUUGGCGCAGUUGGAUUUGGACUAUGUGCUGCUGGGUUUUGAGAAGAUGUCAGCUAAUUGGACAACGGAGGAGAAAUAACGGAAGGAUCGAAAGGCUUUGUCAUUGAUUCAUCUUCAUCCAUUCGACAAUAUUCUAUAUGAUGUCUUGAAGGAGAAAACGGCUGCUGCUUUGUGGUUGAAAUUGGAGCAGUUGUGCAUAACUAAGAGUCUUACUAGCAAACUAAUUCUAAAGCAAAAGUUGUAUUCCCACGCAUGGCGGAAAGAGGGUCGUUGGAAGACCAUAUUGUCACGUUCAAGGAACUUAUCGCAGAUUUGAAGACGUUGGAGGUUAAAAAUGAUGAAGAGGAUCUGGCCUUGAUCCUGUUAUGUUCGCUGCCGAGCUCUUAUGCGUCGUUUCGGGACACCAUAUUGUAUAGUCGGGAUACGUUGACUGUAGACGAUGUCUAUGAUGCAUUGCACUCAAAUGAGAAGCCGAAGCAUCUGGUUGGAGCUACAUCAAGUGAUGGGAAAGCUCUUGUAUCUCAUGGUGGUCGAUGGAGGGGUAGAUUUAUGGAGGGGAGCAAUGUGUAUUGCUUCUACAGCAGACGGGGAGGACACUUGAAGAAGGAUUGUGAGAAGUUAUAGGUUAAAGGUGAUUUAGCUGCAAAUCAUAGGGGGCAAUCAUGGAAUUCAGACAAGACUAAUGUAACCGAUGAUUUUUCGAAUGGCGGAGAUGUGAUGUUAACUGUAGUUUAUGAUGUGGAAUCUAAGCCUAACGAGGAGUGGAUUCUUGAUUCGGCAUGUUCGCACCAUAUGUGUUCCGAUAGAAAUUUAUUUCAGACAUAUGAGGCUGUUCAAUAAGGUGAAAUUGUAAUAGGGAACAACAAAUCUUGUCGUAUUGUUGGAAUCGGCUAAGUUAGAUUGCGGUUGCAGGAUGGGACGGUCAGAACACUUAGCCAAGUUCGACAUGUUCCAAAUCUAAAGAGGAAUCUCAUCUCGCUGAGUACCCUAGAUGCAAAAGGGUAUAAAUUCUCUGGUGGAGGUGGAGUCUUGAAGAUUCGAAGAGGUGUUCAGGUUGUACUGGAGGGACGGAAGAGAUCUCAGUUGUACAUAUUGUAGGGAAGCGCAGAACCAGUUUUGAGACAUCGGGAUAAGUUCAGUACCGUGGUGGAUAUACAGUUUGGUACAGUACCUCUUGUGACGGGCUCUGAGUCGAUUUGGAACACUGGUAGGAAGAGCGUUGAUGAUUCCGUUUUGCCACCAAUUUCAGCGGAUGCACUGUGUUCAAAUGUCAUGGUGGACUCGUGGAGCGUAGGUAUAGUGGUAUUAUUGAUGUCUGUGAUGCUUUUGGAAUCGUUGAAGGUGAUAGUUCUGACAAGGGGCCUUUUGAUCAAGCACUUGGUUUGGUGUCGCUACAGGGUGUGCUUUGACCCUAUUUGGUCAACAAUAAUUCCUCGAUGAAAUUCUGGGAACUCAAAAUUUGGGUUUAGGUGUCGCUUGUGGACGCCGUGCAGAGGACGAUGGUUUACUUUGGAGAGUUUUAGUUACUGUGUUGAGGAGAUUGGCUAUUUUGAUGCAGACGGAUUUGAAAUCUUGGAAUUUAGUUCAUUGUACUGGAAUUUGAGUCAAGGUGGAGAUUGUUGAAUUUUUUACCCAAAUUAGAGUGGAUUUUUUUUUGGAAAUAUAUUAUUUCCUUAUUUUUAUAUAGGAAAAUUUGUUUCCUUAUAUUUCACGUGAGUUUUAUGGAAAUAUAUUAUUUCCUUAUUCUAUAUUAUUUUUAUCUUUAUGCUAUACCAUGUACCUAUAAAUAGUGGUAUCCUCUUUCAGUUUAGUAGAAGCUUUUAUUGCUGUGUCGUUGUAUUCUCUCCACAUUUUCCAUUAAUAAUACAUCUUCCCUCUGCGUUUAACUCUCUUUUCUUCUUUGCUUUAAACCUUGAUAUAUAUUAUUAUAUUGUUGCAAUCCAUAUUAACUUCAUAUCGCGUCAUUAACUUCAUUCUUUACAACCCCUUGGUCCCAACACAAUUUUGGGUAUCACUGGAUUUUAUUACUGUAAAUUCUGUGAAUUUUUGCUGGAUUUUUAAUUGUUGUAUUAAGUGUUUCC